AUCAACGCUGGCGGCGUGCCUAACACAUGCAAGUCGAACGCGAAAGUCCCGCAAGGGAUCGGUAGAGUGGCAAACGGGUGAGUAACACGUGGGUGACCUGCCUUCGAGUGGGGGAUAACGUCCCGAAAGGGACGCUAAUACCGCAUAACAUCCCACCUUUUAAGAGGUGGACAUCAAAGCUGGGGAUCGCAAGACCUGGCGCUUGAAGAGGGGCCCGCGUCCGAUUAGCUAGUUGGUGGGGUAACGGCUCACCAAGGCAACGAUCGGUAGCCGGCCUGAGAGGGCGGACGGCCACACUGGGACUGAGACACGGCCCAGACUCCUACGGGAGGCAGCAGUGGGGAAUUGUUCGCAAUGGGCGCAAGCCUGACGACGCAACGCCGCGUGGAGGAUGAAAGACCUUCGGGUUGUAAACUACCUUUCGUAUCGAGACGAACGGACCUCCGGGUCGAAUAGCCCGGGGGA
RNAcentral lists this ribosomal RNA (465 nucleotides) under uncultured bacterium. RNAcentral's name for it is "bacterial SSU rRNA". It matches the Rfam family "Bacterial small subunit ribosomal RNA", at positions 29 to 473 of the family's 1533-position model. The record is from RNAcentral.